Molecule: long non-coding RNA, 1818 nt
Organism: Prionailurus viverrinus (fishing cat)
Lineage: Eukaryota; Metazoa; Chordata; Mammalia; Carnivora; Felidae
Exons: 3
Source: RefSeq, a predicted model, not a curated record
ACCAUGGCAUAAAUAAAGUGCCCUUGACAGGGAAAGGGAAGAGGAAUUAGUUAUUUCUAAAGAAGUCAGGGAAUAUUCAGAAAGUAAAGAUGAGUGUGGCAGUCUGAAUGAAGCAACUAGAAAUUUAACAUUGAGAUGGCAGUCAAGGAUAGGCCCUUAGGGAAAAUUUAAGAAUUGGAUAAAGGCAAGGUAAUAGAGAAAACUGAGAAGACAGAGGGGAAAAGAGAAAACCAAAAGGAAAUGGUGAACUCAAACCCAGAAAGGAGAACAUUCCAAGUCAGAAACGGUUUAUAAAGUUGUUUCCUGGGAAAUCAUGAGAUGUCAUCUGAGAAGAGGCCAUUUGAUUUGAAAUUAUGGAAGUCUUGAAGACAAUCUAGAUUAUAGUCAUUUGAGAGAUGAAAAGGAGAAUACUGAGACCACCAUGUGGAUGAGCUAGCCUGCUGAAGAAUGAAAGGCCACGUGUGGAAAAGAAUCCAGCACCCUGGUCAAAAGCCAUACAGCCAUGAGCUGACAGCCUGUCCAUCACCAGAUAUAAGGAAGUUUGGAAGCUUGAGGAAAUUGCUUCAGAUUGAGCAGUUUGGGCUCCCACUGACAGAUGUUGGCUGCUCAUAUUGACAUAUCCUAUUGAACGCUAAUGAAAUCUUAAUGAAAUAUUAGUUCAUCAGUACAAGUGGCUUGGAACAAAGUGGUUUUCAAUUUGGGGGCUGCACAGAAGAUCACCAGGGCAGGAAGUUGUUUUAAAACUCUAGGUGUUCUAGCCACACACCAAACCCAUUACAUUUAGAGACUCUGGAAACGGACCCAAGAAAGAAGUUGUUUUCAAAUCUCUACAAAUAAUGCCAAUAGCAGCCAACGUUGAGAAUCAUGGACUUAAAUUCUUGGCUGACGCUCUCGUAUGUAAAAAUAAAACAUCACUGAGAUGAUCCCUGAGCAUCCUUGCCAUGCAAGUCCGUCCUUCAUCUCCAUAAUCCUGCAUGAGAGCAUUUCCUUCACCAGUGUUCUCCUUUCACUGCUCACGAAACAACGAGGAAAAUCCAGUGAGGUCAUUUUUGCCUUAGCUUUGUGACUUUGGUGAAUACAAAUGUUCUCCAAAGUUUACAUGGCUUCAUAAGAUGUUUACCAUGUCUGCUCACCUAGUCGUUUGUCAGAAGAGAAGGAAAAACAGCUGUAAUCUGUCCAAAGAAAAGUGUAAGUCGAACAUGAAAGAUAUUACAAAAAUAAAUGUUUUAGAAGUGGGAUGAGCCUUUUUGUAAACACAAGAAAGCACCUGCUUAUUGACACCAUGCUACUGUGGAAAUUAUGUGCAAGUGUUUGCAUAAUUACAGAUCUAUAUUCCAUAUAUGUAAAGCAAAACUAUUUGCAUGAGUCAUUUGCAGAAGACUUGGAAGCCUCUUGCCUGAGUCCUGACAGUGCUCAGUGCUCUCUCUCUUUCCCAGAGCAGAUGUGUAAUGAGAAAUGCCAUGAUUGGCCAAAUGGGCUUUUAUAGGGAGGCUCUGGGAAGAAGAAAACUUGGAGCCAGGCCCAUCCCCAUAGCACAAUCACCUGCUGUGGGCCAUUCAGUUCAUGCCAGCCAUUUUUAUCCACAGCUUUUUCUACCUCACAGGUGUGUCAUAAAAGAACUACAUAAUGUGUAAGACACUCCAUGGUGCUGUGAAGCAAGUAACCAAAUAAAUAUAGGAUGUUUACCUUGCCAAAAAACAGCAUCUCAGCAUCCAACGGGAAGAUGCCAAGCCAUCUGCUAAGGUCAAAUGGUUUGUGACCUGAAGCAAACUGCCUCUGCUCAAUACAAAUGGUGUAACAUCCUUGCCCCCCCAUCCA